UGUGUUUUAAUGCAAAGGCCACACCUUGGAACUUACAGCAAAAAGCAGAGCUCGAUCAACCUACCAGAUCAAACUGCUCUGUUCUCCGUCCUAGCCUCUGCUCCUGGUAUUGGACAACUGCUGAGGAUACAUUGUUUGAUGUAGUUCUCAUAUGCCAGUGACAAGAGCAAGUUGUGCUUAUGAAGACUUAGGACAGUGUUUGGAGCUAAAUUAAAGCAAGGGAAGCCCCUCGGAGCUGAGUACGUGUAAAAGAAGAAAGAAAAGAAGAGAAAAAAGGCUGAUUCACUCUAGCGCGACCUUAGCGCGACCGCGCUAGAGCAGGAAAUCGAGGCAGAACACUCAGCGAUAUGGGCGGCCACUAGCGCGGUUCGAGCGCGGCCGCGCUAGUCAAAUCUGGAGCGCAGUAGUUCAGGGGUAAACUUGGAAGUUUGGGGGUAAUUCCACUUAACCUAUAAAAGGUCCCGCUCGCCCAAAAAGACAUUAUCAAGGUUUUUAUAGAUUUUUGUGAAGGCAAGAAGAGGCAAGAUGCAAGGAGGAUAAUUCGACAUUGAGUUCUACCUUUCUUCCUUUUGUAUUUAUCAUUCAUGUUGAAUUUUGCUGUUAUUAUGAACAUGAUUAUGAGUAGCUAAUUAUUUAGUCUAGGGUUUUGAUGGAACCUGUUGAGGAUGAACUUCUUGUUGUGUUAA
Nicotiana attenuata is the source of this 686-nucleotide long non-coding RNA. RefSeq lists it as uncharacterized. The record is from RefSeq and is a predicted model, not a curated record. The transcript has 3 exons. Lineage: Eukaryota; Viridiplantae; Streptophyta; Magnoliopsida; Solanales; Solanaceae.